Molecule: ribosomal RNA, 245 nt
Filed under: uncultured bacterium
Lineage: Bacteria
Description: partial 16S ribosomal RNA
Rfam family: Bacterial small subunit ribosomal RNA
Source: RNAcentral
UACGUAGGGUGCGAGCGUUGUCCGGAUUUACUGGGCGUAAAGCGUGUGUAGGCGGCUAUUUAAGUCAGAUGUUAAAUCCAACGGCUCAACCGUUGUCCGCAUUUGAUACUGAAUAGCUAGAGAAUAGGAGAGGGAAGCGGAACUCAUGGUGUAGCGGUGAAAUGCGUAGAUAUCAUGAGGAACACCAGUGGCGAAGGCGGCUUCCUGGACUAUUUCUGACGCUGAGGCACGAAAGCAUGGGGAGC